Molecule: ribosomal RNA, 474 nt
Filed under: uncultured bacterium
Lineage: Bacteria
Description: bacterial SSU rRNA
Rfam family: Bacterial small subunit ribosomal RNA
Source: RNAcentral
GACGAACGCUGGCGGCAUGCCUAACACAUGCAAGUCGAACGGACGAUGCCCUUCGGGGCAAAGUUAGUGGCGGACUGGUGAGUAACGCGUGAGCAACCUGCCUUUGAGAGGGGGACAACAGCUGGAAACGGCUGCUAAUACCGCAUGAUGCAGCGAGAUCGCAUGAUCUUGCUGCCAAAGAUUUAUCGCUCAAAGAUGGGCUCGCGUCCGAUUAGAUAGUUGGUGAGGUAACGGCUCACCAAGUCAACGAUCGGUAGCCGGACUGAGAGGUCGACCGGCCACAUUGGGACUGAGAUACGGCCCAGACUCCUACGGGAGGCAGCAGUGGGGAAUAUUGCGCAAUGGAGGCAACUCUGACGCAGCAAUGCCGCGUGAAGGAUGAAGGUUUUCGGAUUGUAAACUUCUUUUGUGAGGGACGAUAAUGACGGUACCUCACGAAUAAGCCACGGCUAACUACGUGCCAGCAGCCGACGG